This 96-nucleotide ribosomal RNA is filed under the name Prevotella sp. Lineage: Bacteria; Pseudomonadati; Bacteroidota; Bacteroidia; Bacteroidales; Prevotellaceae. The record is from RNAcentral.
CGGGGUCCCACCUCUUCCCAUUCCGAACAGAGAAGUUAAGCCCGCCAUCGCCGAUGGUACUGCAAUGCAAUGCGGGAGAGUAGGUAGCCGCCUUUU